This 91-nucleotide transfer RNA is filed under the name Candidatus Saccharimonadota bacterium. RNAcentral describes it as "tRNA-Ser". It matches the Rfam family "tRNA". Rfam says of the family: Transfer RNA (tRNA) molecules are approximately 80 nucleotides in length. Their secondary structure includes four short double-helical elements and three loops (D, anti-codon, and T loops). Further hydrogen bonds mediate the characteristic L-shaped molecular structure. tRNAs have two regions of fundamental functional importance: the anti-codon, which is responsible for specific mRNA codon recognition, and the 3' end, to which the tRNAs corresponding amino acid is attached (by aminoacyl-tRNA synthetases). tRNAs cope with the degeneracy of the genetic code in two manners: having more than one tRNA (with a specific anti-codon) for a particular amino acid; and 'wobble' base-pairing, i.e. permitting non-standard base-pairing at the 3rd anti-codon position. The record is from RNAcentral. Lineage: Bacteria; Candidatus Saccharimonadota.
GGAAGGGUCGCAUAGCUGGUCUAGUGCGCUGCACUCGAAAUGCAGUAUUCGCGCAAGCGAAUCGUGGGUUCGAAUCCCACCCCUUCCGCCA